This 301-nucleotide ribosomal RNA is filed under the name uncultured bacterium. Its description in RNAcentral is "partial 16S ribosomal RNA". It matches the Rfam family "Bacterial small subunit ribosomal RNA", at positions 509 to 807 of the family's 1533-position model. The record is from RNAcentral.
CAGUCGCCGCGGUAAGACAGAGGAUGCAAGCGUUAUCCGGAAUUACUGGGCGUAAAGCGUGCGUAGGUGGUGGUUUAAGUCCGUUGUGAAAGCCCUGGGCUCAACCUGGGAAUUGCAGUGGAUACUGGGUCACUAGAGUGUGGUAGAGGAUAGUGGAAUUUCCGGUGUAGCAGUGAAAUGCGUAGAGAUCGGAAGGAACAUCUGUGGCGAAGGCGACUAUCUGGGCCAACACUGACACUGUGGCACGAAAGCGUGGGGAGCAAACAGGAUUAGAUACCCCUGUAGUCCCUGUCUCUUAUAC